ACCUGAUAUCUUUUUGCAGUGUCAACGCAUGACAGGAUAUCACAACCAUUUUUAGCAGAUGAGCUAAAACUUUCAGGAAGCUGAUAAUGAUUAUUGAUGCUGAGAAAUUUAUUUCAAUCAUUCUGGAUUUGUCAGGUAAUUUUGCCACACUUUUCUUCUUGUACUUCUUCUAGACGGGAAAAUCACCUUUUUUCCUCUUCCUCUCUGAGCAGUAAUUUCACAUUCAAUUUUCAAUUUAUUGCAUCAAACUCAUAAAACUAAUAUCGCUGGAAAAGAAUGCAGUAUAAUAAUAAAUAAUCCCUUGUAGGUGACGAAUGCAAGUCCUAUGACUACAUAUCUACACUUCCUGUGUAAUUCUCUUUAGAUGAAAUUUGGGUGGAAAAAAAAUCAAAAAAUAACAUUAGACAGCAAAAGUGUGAAAUUCUCUUGGUAGGAGAGCAAAACUUCUUAUGUGUAUCUUGUAUGGUUUCUUCCCUUGUUCAAGAUCACAAGACUUGCAAACAAAGUUUUUUUGUUUUCAAUAACCGUGGUGUCUGGGCCAGCUUGCCGCACCUCGACACAAAUAACUUUAAAUCUAUCAUAAGCAAUGUGACUUGAAUCGACCAAGAGAAGAUCUCCAUUUUCUUGAGUGGAGAUUUCUAAAUGAUUAACCUUCUUCAUGUUUGUGACCUUCAUUUGCCAGAAAGUCAGACAUUUUUUUUCGUUCCACCAGAUGUAUAUAAUAGUAGCUCUCGUGUGUUCCAGCAAAUUUUUACGGUCUUCAAUAAUAGUCCUGAAGAUUAAUGUUGUAUGUCCUCCUCUUUGAUAAGCUUGACAACAAGUAGAUAGUUUGUUUCCACCUCUAAUUCUUUAUAACAUAUUUCUUUUGCUGCUUUUGAACCUUGUUUGAUGCUCUAUGGCUUUAUAGCGAGGCUUGAAGUUGGCUUCAUUUUACCUGUAUAACUCAAUAUCCACUUUCCUUGUUCGUCUCUAUAAAUCCUUACAAAUGCAGCAUCUCUAGUUUGAGUCUUGAAAUUGGCAUUACUGGCGAUCUGUAAAUAGGGCAAUGUUUGUAUUAGGAAGUUGGCUAAUAUUGGAAUGUGGUGGCAUGGUGCUAUGCACUCCUUAAUUAAAGCCAUGUCAUGCCCUUUGCCUAGACAUCAUCUCUCAUCAGGUUUAGCUAAAUAAUAUUGGGAAAACAAAAUAAUAAAAGAAAACUUGAGCAGAGGAUUUUUUUUUUUUGAUAACUGUGGUGUCCGGGCCAGCUUGCACGCACCUCGACUAAUUCCACGGGAUACACGCUGCCUCCUCCAGCAACAACAGAUGUUAGGUAACUAUGUCCACCAAGGAUAGAAUAGGUGGGAAGAAAUCACCCAGUGUUUGUCUCUACUGAAAAUUUAACCUGAUACCUCAUGGUGCUCGACCCACAACAUUGACCACUAGGCCACUCCCUUGGAUGCGUGGAGGAAUUGAGAUGCUUUACCCGUAUCUUAUAAUUUUGAGUUGGAUGUUCAAAUUCUUUUGGUCAAAUACAUAGACGGCCCCUUAAAGUUGCUUCAGUUUCCUUUUCUUUUCUUUUUUUUCCUGAUAACAACUUCAGUUUUUAUUUCGACACCUUCACUAAAGUCGAUACUUUAACACUCUAACAUCAUUCAAAGUGUGUCCGUUAAACUCUUUGCAAAGAAAAAAAUUGUGAAAAAGAAAAAAGAAAUGAGAAAGAGAAGAAAGGAAAAGUAUGGAAAAAAGGUUAUAUAAGUGAUUCACGCGCUCAACAAUAACUGAAAGUCACUUUUUGCGCCACGUCAAUCCGAGGUGUUUAAUAGACACACUUGGAAUGGUGUUGGAGUGUUCAACAGGUAUUUUCCCUCUUUUAGGUGUAAAUGUGAAAAUUGGAGCCAACUUUAAAGGGCCGUCUGGAUAUUUGGCCAAUUCCUUUAAAAGAUAGCAAAAUAUGCAAACAUGCAAGAUGCUUGAGUACACAUGAAAAUUAACAUCUUAUUAAGUUCCACUUGAAUAGUUAAAUGUACAUAACAAAAUAUCACAUUUCACAAGCAUGCUGGCAUGUAACUUAUUAGCUCAUAUACACAAAGCAAACAGAGAAGAAGAAAAAGCAGCCAGGAUAGACCAUUCCCUGGAACGUGUGGGGAAGAAGAGAAGUGGCACCAGACGGAACAACAUUCACAGAGGAAGAAUCCGAGGAGGGAUCGUCCUUCUUUGGCUUUGAUGGCUCUGGAGCAGGUGCUGGUGGUAAUGGUUUGACAAAGAAUUUCAAAGGAAGCAGUACCUUAUCCACUUGGUAAAUAGCUAAUUGACUGUCAGUGUAAAUUGUACUGGUCAGACUUGCAUUAACAAUCCCAGUUGUUAUGUUCACUGCUGUCCCGUUUGUGGCUAUAUUGAUGGGGAAUUCACGAUUAGUGGUUCCUCCAGCUUGUGUUUGUACAGGGUUGCUAGCCGUUUGGAACUGUGAUAGGGAGAAAUAUGAGGGGAGGAUAUGGAAUUUAACUAAUUCAGCUUUCCGCUGAUCACUGAAAGAGUUGAGGGUGCCAGUUUUCAGGUUCAAGAAAGCACCAUCCGAUGGAACAAACAUGGUUAUGCUGUUGGAGUUGUUUAGUAAUGAGGUGAUUUCACCCACUUCAUGAGUGAUUUGUAACAACUUGAUGAACGUCGAACAUGAUCCAGCUUUCGCAAGGAUUUUUAUCACGUUUGGCAGACCAGGUGGUCCUGGAGCCGGAGCAGAGGCUACAACUGGGGACAAUAUUGGUGCUGGAGAAGAAGAAAUAGUUGGUGGCGGUGAAGCCGGAGCAGAAGGUUGAGAUGGGGGUAGUGAAGCUGGAGCUGAAGAUUGAGUUGGUGGCAUUGGAGCCAUAGCAGGUGCUUGAGCCAAAAUGCAAGUGAAUUGGAGCAAGAAGAAAAACAAGAAAAGAAAGGGUGAGACUAAGUUGAAGUUCAUUUUUUUUUCCCUUUAUUUCGCUGAAUUCGAAUUUUGUUAGAUGUGGAGGGAGAAGGAGAAAGUGUGCCAGUUAUAUAGUGAGCUGUGGGUUGAUUUCUUGCUUCAAAAUAUUAAAGAAAAAAGAUGUGAUAAUAGGUUUGGGGAUAAAAGUUUGUGGGGUAUUGGGAUGAAAGAAAUAGUUAGGUGAAAAGGUGGUGCAAUUUAUGGUGAGUUGAGAAUAAUAACUUAUGUACUGUUAUAAUGCAGCUUCUAGCUUGCUUAUGAAGGGAAAAACAGCUGGAGAAGUGAACUAAUUCCUUUGUAGAUACCAUUAGCUAGAUCUGUAAAUAUAAUUGUAUGUAUAGCCACUUCAAUCGUGUUCGUCAUUUCUCCAAAAUAUCUUUUUUAUCUGGCAACAUGGUCAACUAGAAAUUUUUAUAUUCACGAUUCUUCAUUAACCCAUAGGUAAAAUGCUCUAGCUUUCCAUUCUCAUGUGAGUCUGGAACGUGAAUUGGCCAUUCAGUUUAUGUUGUGUGAUUUGAGGAGGGUAAAGUAGUUAGGUAAAAAUAUUUCAAGUUUUUCUUUUUUACUUUAUGCGUUUAGGGGCCUACUUACUCUACUAAUCCAUAUUCAUAUUGCGUGGAUGACAGAAAUGCUUUCUUCCAAGAGUAACUCCAUUUUCAGGGCUCGAACUUGAGAUCUCUAGUUAAAGCUAUAAGGAUAUCAUCCAUCCCACCAGACUCGUUGCUGGUAUAUUUCAAGUUGCAUAUAUGCAAUCACAAAAUAAGUAUAGCACAAUCCUAAAUGAUUACUCAUGAAUUUGUGGGACAAGAGGCAAAUUUAGUUGCAACUACACUGGUCACAAUCGAGAAAUUCUUGGUACAGCUGACGAUAAUGUAAUGUAAGGUGAUAAAUGAUAAUCCUUGUAUUUGUUGUGUUCUCUACUAUCUUUUUGCAGUGUCAAUGCAUGACAGGAUAUCACAACCAUUUUUAGCAGAUGAGCUAAAACUAUCAGGAGGAUUAAUAAUGAUUAGUGAUGCUGAGAAAUGUGUCAAUCAUUCUGGAUUUGUAAGGUAAUUAUGCCACACUUUUCUGCUUGUACUUCUUCUAGACAGGAAAAUCACAUUUUUUCCUCUUCUCCUCUGAGCAGUAAUUUCAAAUUCUAUUUUUAGUUUAUCGCAUCAAAUUCAUAAAACUAACUUUUGUAACGAAAAGUUUUUUCAAUUAUGCCUAUAUAAUCACUGGGAAAAAAAUGCAGUAUAAUGCUAAAUGAUCCUUUGUAGGUGACAAACGCGAGUUUUAGGACCACACAUGUAUACUUUCCGUGCAAUUCUUAGAUGAAAUUUGGCUGGAAAACUAUUUUUUACAUUUGACAGAACAAAAGUGGUGAAAUUUAUUGACAGGACAGCAAACUUUAUAUGUGUCACUUAGAUUGUUUCACCCCAAGUUCAAGAUCACAAGACUUGCAAACGACGUUUAUUUGCUUCUUUUUUCUUUUACAUGGGAAAAGAUAACAAAUUACUUUAAAUCUUUCAUUAGCAACGUGACUUGAAUCAAUCAAGAGAAAAAACUCCAUUUUCUUGAGUGGAGCUUUCCAAACGAUCAAACCCUCUUUAUUUCUAUGACCUUCAUUUGCCAGAAAAUGGUCACAUUUAUUCUUCUUCCGCAAGAUGUAUGUAAUAGUAGCCUUCAUGGUUUCCAGCAAAUUUUUAUGAUCUUCAAUAAUAGCCCUAACAAGUGAUACUAUCUGUCCUCUUUGAUAAGCUUGACAACAAGUAGGCAGUUUGUUUCCGCCUUUAAUUCUUUAUACCCAAUUCUUUUUGUUAGUUUUGACCCUUGUUUGAUGCUCCAUAGCUCUAUAGUGAGGCUUGAAGUUGGAUUCGUCUUACCUGAAACCCGAUAUCUACUUCCCUUUGUCUCAAAAAUUCCUUAAGUGCCGCAUGUGCCUUGUUUGAGUCUUGACAUUAGCAUUACAGGCAUUUUGAAAAUAAUGCAAUAUUUGUAUCAGGAAUUAUACUAAUUUUGGAAUGUGGUGGCAUGGUGCUAUGCACUCCUGAUUAAAGCCACUUCCUGUGGCUUUGCCUAGACAUCAUCAUCUCUCGUCAGGUUUAGCUAAAAAAUUAUUGGGAAAACAAAAUAAUAAAAGAAAAUUUAUGCGGAAGAAUUGAGCUGAUAUACCCAUAUCUUAUAGUAAUUCUGAAGUGGAUAUUCAAAUUCUUUUAAAAGAUAACAUAAUAUGCAAUUAAGAUCUUUGAGAAGGACAUAAAUUGCAGUUACAUAAAUUGCCUAUGUGUAAUGUGAGAGCACCCCCUGGACUUAAAACUAUAGUAAAACAUCUGAUGUUUUAGUAUGUUGCGUUUUCUGGUUUUCUUUUCUUUAUGCUUUCAGCUGUCUGUAAAUGAGGAGAACAAUUGGAUAGCUCACGAAAAUUAACAUCUUAUGAAGUUUCACUUGAGCAUACAUAACAAAAUAUAACAAGCAUGCUGGUAUUGCAUGCAACUGAUUAGCUCAUAUACACAGAGAAAACAGAGAAGAAGAAAAAGGAGCCAGGAUAGACCAUUCCCCGGAACAUGUGGGGAAGAAGAGAAGUGGCACCAGAUGGAACAACAUUAACGGAGGAAGAAUCCGAGGAAGGAUCAUCCUUCUGUGGCUUUGAUGGCUCUGGAGCAGGUGCUGGUGGUAAUGGUGGGACAAAGAAUUUCAAAGGAAGCAGUACUUUAUCCACUUGGUAAAUAGCUAAUUGAUUGUCAGUGUAAAUUGUACUGGUCAGACUUGCAUUCACAAUUCCGGUUGUUAUGUUCACUGCUGUCCCAUUUGUGGUUAUGUUGAUGGGGAAUUCACGAUUAGUGGUUCCUCCAGCUUGUGUUGGUACAGGGUUGCUAGCCGUUUGGAACUGCGACAGGGAGAAAUAUGAGGGGAGGAUAUGGAAUUUAACCAAGUCAGCUUUCCGCUGAUCGCUGAAAGAGUUGAGGGUGCCAGUUUUCAG
RNAcentral lists this long non-coding RNA (5894 nucleotides) under Capsicum annuum. RNAcentral describes it as "long non-coding RNA (CANN_LNC016393)". The record is from RNAcentral. Lineage: Eukaryota; Viridiplantae; Streptophyta; Magnoliopsida; Solanales; Solanaceae.